GCUGCUCCGUGCCCGUCCACCGAACGGUCGGCAGGCGAUCCGCGUCGGUCAAGCGAGGUGGUAUGGUUCCCCAGAGGCCGGUUCUUGUGCUGCCUACCCCUUCAGGGGAAGCGGGCCACUUGAUGUAAGCCUCCAUCCGGCGCCCUCCAACGGGCGCAGGAGGACAACGGAGCACCCCCCGCGUUCCACCGAGCCUCAGCCGGUCGCGUGGCGCGCGGGGACGUGCGAUGCUCUCGGACCCAGCGAACGCCGUGGGCGAGGACUCACGUCCCAGUCCCUACAGAAGCUCCGAUAUAAUGCAUGACGGCCGCUCCCGACCCCCGACCGCCCCGGCGGCGCGGGGGCGAGGCGCGGCGUCGCGGAGGAAUGC
RNAcentral lists this unclassified non-coding RNA (370 nucleotides) under Acacia hamersleyensis. Its description in RNAcentral is "partial external transcribed spacer". Lineage: Eukaryota; Viridiplantae; Streptophyta; Magnoliopsida; Fabales; Fabaceae. The record is from RNAcentral.